GAAAACAGACAGCUGAGGUGUUUCUUUCUCCUGAUUAACUGACAGUCGUUUCAGCAAAACCUGCACUAACAGUUGCAGAGGAUGAAAAUGAGUCGUGUUUUACAAGGUUAGCCGACUAGCCUGUAUAAAUGAGCCUGCUGAGAUUUAAAUGAGAGAUUUUGAAUGAGGCUUUGUGCUGUGAUUGCAGAUAUCGGUAUGCUGGCGGUGGGCCCUGCGUGAUUAUGAGCUGCUAUGAAUAUACGAUAAGAGGACCGAUGACAGGAGGCCUUUGCUGAAAUAUGAAACUGAUGUUUCUGAUUCGUCAACGUUCGACAGGUCCUUGCAGGCUACGGGCUGUAAAACACUCACAUACACACCUUUGUUCACCACAUCAGAGCCACCUAAAUAAGUGUAUGUUACUUAAGGCCUUUGGUAUGUGUUCAGUAGGCUGUUGAAUUAAUUUUUGGUUAUACAUGACAACGUUAGUGGUGUUCUUUGUGAAAUGAUUGAAUUCUUUUGUGUUGUUCUGCUAGAAAGGACCCUUAUUUGUUGGCUGGAGCUUACUUUCAAGCUGCUUGAAUAUUUUGGAUUGUCAAAAAUGGUGUAUGUUGAGCCCUGUUCACUUGCAUUAUGUGACAAAAAUCUCUGUAACCUUAAUAAUAUAACUUUUUUCAUUUAAUUAAACAUGUUCCACAAGUUUUCAUACA
This 686-nucleotide long non-coding RNA is filed under the name Danio rerio (zebrafish). Its description in RNAcentral is "lncRNA si:ch73-249k16.3 (ENSDARG00000094247.2)". Lineage: Eukaryota; Metazoa; Chordata; Actinopteri; Cypriniformes; Danionidae. The record is from RNAcentral.